UUUCUCAUUUCAUUUCUCUUCCCCAGACACAUUAAUUUAUUUCUCCCUCUCCACCUUCACUUGUAUGUAUUCCUCUACCUCUCCCUCUUCAGCGUGUUGUUAUUUUUUCCCUCUCAAUUGUCGCUCUCAUCUCCCUCCCCCUCUCCACUACCGCUCUCCUCACUGUCACACUCCUCUCCUCCUCUAUUGUUGCGAUCUCCCAAAGUAUGUGGCUGAACACACGCUUAUAUGCAACUUGCGACAAAUCUAUUGUUAAGAUGAAACAAAGAAAUUAAGGGAGAAAACCUUCGAAGUGUGUAAUUCAUUAUUAUGAUAAGAAUCUUACUACUACAAAGCUACGUAGUAGGGGACCUCUCCAAAGGUUCUUUGCCGAGAUCCAUGGCGGUUGGGGUUUGAUAUAAUCAUAUUGUGCCUACAAAAUAUGACAACGCUAUCAAAAUAUUGAGGUCAUUUAUAUUUUCCUACGUGGACACCUAUUUUUUUUUAUACUCUUGAUGGUUGAUUAAUUACGUAUGAAAAAAAUUAUAAUUUUUCACGUGA
Non-coding RNA from Cicer arietinum (chickpea), 540 nucleotides. Lineage: Eukaryota; Viridiplantae; Streptophyta; Magnoliopsida; Fabales; Fabaceae. The record is from RefSeq and is a predicted model, not a curated record.